Molecule: ribosomal RNA, 124 nt
Filed under: Peromyscus maniculatus bairdii (prairie deer mouse)
Lineage: Eukaryota; Metazoa; Chordata; Mammalia; Rodentia; Cricetidae
Source: RNAcentral
GUCUUUGGCCAUACUACCCUGGAUGCAUCUGAUCUCGUCUGUUUUUGAAAGCUAAGCAGGAUUGUGCUUGAUUAGUAUGUGGGUAGGAUAAAGCCUUUUUUUUAAGUGCAUGUUAUAGAAGAAU